This is an RNA transcript of Mycetomoellerius zeteki, 2621 nucleotides long. It is a transcript of the gene named ceramide glucosyltransferase, with no coding region annotated. The transcript has 4 exons. The record is from RefSeq and is a predicted model, not a curated record. NCBI's taxonomy places the organism in Eukaryota, Metazoa, Arthropoda, Insecta, Hymenoptera, Formicidae.
UGAAAACUAUUCUGUAGUUUUCUACUCUGUUCGUUAUCCGGCUAUCCAACUAACAGCAGAAACGGCUUAGUUGAAUAAUACGAUAAAUACGAUAAAAUUUUUUAAAAAAUAGUAUCAGAUGAAAGUUCGAUUGGCGGUCCUUUGAGUAUUACGAGAUAUAUUUGUCGCAAAACGCUCAAGAGUGGGCUUGCUGUAAGUUUGAGCGAGCAGAGCUGGGCUGGAUUCAGCUCCUUCUAGUCACGCGUUCCACGAAUCGUUGCGUGCGUGCUGCUAAUCCGAAUCAUCGACACGGGGUGUUUUUCUUUCGAUAAUUAAAAAUAAUCGAGAAACGAUACGCAUUAAGUGUAUACACAUCAAUACGAGAGAAUGCGCGUCAGAGAGAGAGAGAGAGAGAGAGAUAUUAGUGAGUCAUUCGUGACGAAAUAAAGGUGUUGGUUUCUACGUAUGAUGAAGAAAGAUGAGAGAGGGAAGGUUAGUCGAUGAGACGCGUCAUUGCGCGCGUCGCAUCUGGUCAGCGCGGAGAAUAAGAUAACCAAGUUCGAUUCGAGCGACCCGAGAACGUCAAAGAGUUAUGACAGUGCACGAUUUGUCAGUGUCGAUGGAAAGGAAGAGUAUCAAUGUUAUGAAAAGCGGUCGCGGGGAAUAGUGACGUAUUUAGGGCGACUGGUGAAGUCUGUAACGACGAUGCGAUCCGAUCACGGUUUAACUAUUCCGUUUGCUCGUCGACGGAAGAUAAAUUCCCAUCCUGAGCAAGAAGCAAGUUGCCUCAACACGGAUCAGUCGCGCAGUUGACGCGCUCGUCAAGGUGCGAGUCAAGGAGGUUACCGUAGUUUAAGCGAGCUGGAGUGGACCGGAGCGUGAAUGUGUUGCAAGAGGCGAGCACGUUGCCGCCGCCGUCGUCGUCGUGGUCGUCGUCGCCGUCGCCGCCGUCGUACUGUGAAAACGACAGUGAUGCUCGAUCAGUAGGGCGCGUCACUUGACGUGGGACGAAGAUUCCCGUGAUGUGUCCGCACGAGGGUGUCCGGUCGAGGCAAGAAGUAGUGGAAAGAAAGCAGGGCAAAAAGAAGGAAGGGGGUGCCGCGCCGGUUUGAACACGCCGGCACGCUAGAUUGCGGUGGCCUAAAGCCCUCGCUCUCUUGUUCCUUGGAAAAUGAACUCCAUGCUAUAUACUCUCUACGGGUUCGCGAUAUUUUUCAUGAUAUUCUGGUCGGGUAUGUGGGUGGUUCACGUGCUGGCAUUGAUUGCCGGUCGUUGGAAGCUGCAUCGGAAGAUGAAUCAGGCAGCGAGCUACGAGACACCGCUGCCAGGAGUAUCCGUGAUAAAACCCCUGAUGGGGGUUGAUCCAAAUCUUUUCAGUAACCUCGAGACCUUCUUCACCAUGGAAUAUCCCCGAUACGAGCUCCUAUUUUGCGUCGAGGAUGACUCCGAUCCCGUGCUGAUGUUGGUGCGCAAGCUUGUUGAGAAGUAUCCGGAAGUCGAGGCCACGCUCUUCGUCGGUGGUUGUAAAGUAGGGGUGAAUCCAAAGAUCAACAACAUGCAACCGGCGUACGAGGCCGCCAAGUACGAACUUGUGCUGAUCAGCGACAGUGGCAUACGCAUGAAGGAGGACACUCUACUAGAUAUGGUCCAUCAUAUGACGGACAGAGUGGCUUUGGUUCAUCAGAUGCCGUUUACCUGCGACCGCGAAGGUUUCGCCGCCGCGUACGAAAAGAUCUUCUUCGGUACGGUGCAGUCACGGAUGUACCUAGCUGCGGAUAUGCUCAGGAUAAACUGUCAUACCGGUAUGUCAGCACUCCUGAAAAAAUUCACAUUAGACGAGGUCGGUGGUCUAAAAGCGUUUGGCAUCUAUCUCGCAGAGGAUUUUUUUUACGCGAAAUCAUUGACCGACCGCGGCUGGCGCAUCACCGUCUCCUCGCAGCCGGCGCUACAGAACAGUGGCCAUUGCGCGGUCGAUUCCUUCCAAGCGCGACUACGACGAUGGGCUAAAUUGAGGGUUGCAAUGCUGCCUACCACCAUUGUUCUCGAACCGUUGAGUGAAUGCCUCGUUCUGGGUGGGUUCGCUUCCUGGGCGGCCAGCGUCCUGUUCGAGUGGGAUUCUCUAGUUUUUUAUUUGGUACACAUACUCUUGUGGUUUAUGUUCGAUUGGACGUUACUGUGUGUAGUACAGAACGGUCCGCUGCCUUUUAACAAACUUGAGUUUGUGUGCGGUUGGUUGCUCAGUGAAAUCACGAGACCGUACCUUUUCCUUCAGGCUGUCUUGGAUCCUCUCAUACAGUGGCGUUCACGUGUUUACAAGCUCAAAUGGGGUGGCGUCGCGGAGGAAGUUAAGGCGAAAGUCAAAUAUUAAAAAUUCAUGCGUUAGAAUAAGAAGGACGGAACUGGAUGAGUUAAAGUUGUGAUUUGCAAUAGUUCUUCCUUACAAUUACUGAAGGCUUCUUCCGUUUCAAGAACUCAUCGAGGGAACUAAACUUCUGUCACGUUUCCUGUUAUCCUUGAGAAAUUCUAAGUCGGCUUGGUUCCCUGACUAGAAACUAAAUAUCUAAGAAAAAGGAGUUCAAAAAUGCCGAAAAGACAUUUAGAAAUAUUUAUCGUUAAUCCACUGUGUUGAAGUCGUUCAAAAA